RNAcentral lists this ribosomal RNA (527 nucleotides) under uncultured bacterium. Its description in RNAcentral is "partial 16S ribosomal RNA". It matches the Rfam family "Bacterial small subunit ribosomal RNA", at positions 355 to 874 of the family's 1533-position model. The record is from RNAcentral.
UGGGGAAUUUUGGACAAUGGGCGAAAGCCUGAUCCAGCAAUGCCGCGUGUGUGAAGAAGGCCUUCGGGUUGUAAAGCACUUUUGUCCGGAAAGAAAUCCUUGGCUCUAAUACAGUCGGGGGAUGACGGUACCGGAAGAAUAAGCACCGGCUAACUACGUGCCAGCAGCCGCGGUAAUACGUAGGGUGCAAGCGUUAAUCGGAAUUACUGGGCGUAAAGCGUGCGCAGGCGGUUUGCUAAGACCGAUGUGAAAUCCCCGGGCUCAACCUGGGAACUGCAUUGGUGACUGGCAGGCUAGAGUAUGGCAGAGGGGGGUAGAAUUCCACGUGUAGCAGUGAAAUGCGUAGAGAUGUGGAGGAAUACCGAUGGCGAAGGCAGCCCCCUGGGCCAAUACUGACGCUCAUGCACGAAAGCGUGGGGAGCAAACAGGAUUAGAUACCCUGGUAGUCCAGCGCCCUAAACGAUGUCAACUAGUUGUUGGGGAUUCAAUUCCUUAGUAACGUAGCUAACGCGUGAAGUUGACCGCCU